Molecule: long non-coding RNA, 238 nt
Organism: Melitaea cinxia (Glanville fritillary)
Lineage: Eukaryota; Metazoa; Arthropoda; Insecta; Lepidoptera; Nymphalidae
Exons: 3
Source: RefSeq, a predicted model, not a curated record
GUAGGAUGUGUAACUUUAAAGACGAAUGCAUGAAAGGGAAUGUAAAAGUGGGUAUGCAUGAUAUGAAGAAUGAUUGACGUUGACAGACGAACGUGUGACAGUGAGUUUGGGGGUGGCGCUAAGCGAGUGAAGACGGCAAGACGUGUAUUUUUAUUUCUCUGUGUAUUUGAAUAAACCAGCAUUUUAACGACUUUGGAUUUUUUGAUUUUAUCCCACAUAUAUAUAAACUUAUUUUUGG